Molecule: long non-coding RNA, 1421 nt
Filed under: Ursus maritimus (polar bear)
Lineage: Eukaryota; Metazoa; Chordata; Mammalia; Carnivora; Ursidae
Description: lncRNA (ENSUMAG00000019841.1)
Source: RNAcentral
ACCCUGGGGGCAUCCUUGAAUGCCUGACUUUGAUUCUGUGGUAGGUACCAGCCCAAGAGACACACAACCAUAGAACGAGAGCUGGAAGGGUCCAUGGGUGCCACCCGCCCAACCCUCCUUACAGCAAGAAUCGAGGUCACAGCCAUAGCCACGAUGAGGCGGAUGGAAGCUGGGCCCAAGGGAGGCCGUCUGGCUGCCCAGGAGAGGGGACUGAAGGAGGGGCCCACAGAGGGGGCCCAGCUGGCCAGCCGGACUCCAGGCUGGAGGAGAUGGGAGCAUCUGGAAAACAUCAUUCACUUUGACCAAUCAGUGUUUAAAAGCCAAACAAAGCCACAGUGAGCACAGCCGGGGUUUUUUUUUUCCCCUUCCAAGUACAACAGCACAUCUGGGUGUUUCAUUUGACUUCACAGUUGUUCGCUGCCACGGAUUCCCUGGGGCCAGCAUGCACCUCUUCCUUGUGUCUCUUACAUUUACCUAUCUCUGACUCCCAGAAAGUGGCCUGAUUUCCCCCCAAAACAAAUUCACACCUGCUUAAGGAAAACCGGAAAUGGAUAUUUCCAUGUUUCUAUUGUUAUUCUAUUCCUGCCAGAACCCCUGCCCCGGGGUGAGUGCUGGGAAUGCUGGAUAAAAGCAAAACUAAGGCCCAGCCCCAAGCUGUCUGCCACCUUGCGGAAGACAUGGAAGGGCAUGAGUGCAUCCGGAGGCCAUUCGUCAUGGUGACCACUCCCUCUUCCUGGAAGCAGCCCCUUCCUGCGGGUCCCUUCUGUGACUCCACCCUUCCCUGGGUCUUCUCCUGUCCCACCGGCCACAGCUUCUACCUGCUCUUCCCAUGUUGGGUCCUGUAUCUCCUCUCUUCUCUCCCCACUCUCUCUCCUGAGCCCGGUCUUCCUCUCCUGCGGAUCCAGUUACCAUCUCUUUGUCACGCACUCCCAAAUUCACAGCUCCAGCCAAGCCUUUCCCCCUGAAGCUAAACACACACACCCAACACCGCUUCUGGGAUGUCUCCAGGAUCUCAGGACCCACCACGACUGCAGGGGGUGGACCAUGAACAUGGACAAGCUGCAAGAUGUCCUUUGACAGCUGUGUGUGGCGGAGCAGCAGGGCCCAGGGGAAGCCAGGAGGCAGCUGUUCUUGGAAAGAGAUCAAAACCACUGCUGCACACCUCUUCCUCAAAUCGAGGUGGCGGCCACUUCUGGAACCAUCCAGCUGAGCAGUGUCAGCCCCACGAGCCUGGGUGCUCGGCGCCGGCCGGCAGAGGGACAGGACUCGGCAAGUUGCCGCACCUUCUCGUAAAAUCCAGCAGAGCGGGCCGACGGCAAGAUCUUUCUCAUCUCCACGGGGCUUUCCUCCGUCUGGAUGUUAAAAAGGAACCGGUCAACCCAGCUCCACAAAGGCCCUCAGAGGCAGAAUCGGGUGGAAGA